This is a long non-coding RNA of Gasterosteus aculeatus aculeatus (three-spined stickleback), 364 nucleotides long. The record is from Ensembl. Lineage: Eukaryota; Metazoa; Chordata; Actinopteri; Perciformes; Gasterosteidae.
CUAAUACACACACACAGGUACACACACUACCAGGUACACACUAAUACACACACACACAACGGUACACACACUACCAGGUACACACUAAUACACACACACACAGGUACACACACUACCAGGUACACACUAAUACACACACACACAGGUACACACACUACCAGGUACACACUAAUACACACACACACAGGUACACACACUACCAGGUACACACUAAUACACACACACACAGGUACACACACUACCAGGUACACACUAAUACACACACAGGUAAAAGAACCAGAGGAACCGGAGGAACCGGCACUGUGGGGGAAUGAAGAUCUGAUGCUGGAUCAGCUGAGUGACAGAUGUCUCCGUGUGUUGCUAG